UUGGGCUUACUGCGGUAAGUGCUGGGAACACUGGGUGAACAAGAUCUUUGAUCUUUCUUCCCAUGGAGAUUUUGGAAGUUUAUCCUUCCCUUGCAAGAAAACCCUUUUCUUUUUGGAGGACUUAUCUUUGAGCAAAGGAAGGGGAGAUUGGCUAUAAGAUCCAACUGGAAAAAAGGUUUUGGCAACUAUACCUGGGGUCCAACCAUCCUUCCAAACAUUGAGUCACUUACCUUCUCUAACCAACUUUGUUCCAGCUGUAAAGUCCCAUCUGGGUCUCAGUGCCAAUCUUUGCCUUUAGGAUUCUGAAGGAUGAUUUAAAGGCAUGUCUGUGACCCAGCACCUGGGCACUCUCAAUCCUUGGUGAUGGCCGUCAGGAGUCACUGUAAAUGUCAUAAUGAGGCCAACCAAAGGAUGGAGAACCAGUCCUCCUAAUGACUUGGGAAAGUCUCACUGAGGGAUAGGAAACCUUGGUUCUACUUCUGACCAUGAUGCUCAUAUCUUGGUAGCUUCACCCAUCUGAGUCUCUGUAUCUUUACCUAUGGGAUGAAGGGGCUGAAACUUGGACUUUCCCAGAGGACUGAGUUUCCAUAUCUGGAUGAAUUAGUUAAGGAAAAACAGAAGAAUAUUUUUCUUCAAGACGACACAUAGAAGCCAUUUCUAUCACAUCCGCAAGCUACAGACUGGCAGCCCCUGGCUUAGGAGGUCGCCCUGAAAGCUUCAAGGUGCUCUUUCUUCUCGGAUGUUGGUGGAAAUGGGAGGGGGAGAGAGGGUGGUUAGCUUUCCCAAAAUAAUUUUAAGGCCUCAUUUCAAAAAGGAGAAACCUACGGCUUUUUGGGGGUGGGGGAAGGGAAGGAUAGGGAGGCAAAUGAAGAAUGGAGAGGAUGGAGUUGGGAACAGAGGUGGCAAGGUGCAGAACCUGCUUUCCUGCGGGCUGUGUAGGCAGAGGCGGUUGGAGUAUUCCCAGCCAAGGGGAGGGGGAGAGAGGGCUACUUUCUCCCUGCCUGGGGCUUGGCAAGGACAGAACCAAUGACAACGUGAGGGGCAGACACAGGUGGCACGUGAAAGCCCUCCUCAGUCUUAAGAGGGGUCUGUACAGUAUCUUGUUUGCCAGGUAAAAAAAAUAAUACUUCUGAGAGAGCGAGAGAGAAUGAGAAAGACAGAAUUUGCAUAGAUUGUACAUUUAGCUCCAGCAGAUUUUGGACACCUUUAUUUUGCCCCCCCCACCCCCACCCCCGGUAAACUUCUCAGCAGACACAUGAGGUAGCGCCUGUGGUUGACCCAUGGGCAUAGUAAGGUAAGUGAGGCAGAAGCACAGAGGACCUCCUGUGAGCACGGCUUCCAAAGAUGUUUCCAGACAUGUGGCAAGAUGGCUGCUAAAACCUGGUAUCUGGAGGGAGCCGGGCUGUUUGACACGCCAACCCCUCCUCCUGAACCACAUCCUGGACCUCUCCGCCUGGUAGGAUGGAAUUCUGGAAGGCGGGGACCAGGCCAAUGGGGACCUCCGUACGUCUAAGGGGCAGCUCUUGGGGUCUGCAAAUUCUGUGCCAUCUUCCCUUCAGUACAAACUGUCUUGAGACCAGGAGAGCUGAACACGCCAGUUAUGAGACACUUCUCCUCUGAGGGACCGUUUCUUUGGGACGGGAAUGACUAGUAAGAGGUCCCCAUUCCCCUCGGAGCUCGACAUAAGCUGUUAUUUUUUUGCCCCUUCCUGAUGGUGGCUUCUUCCUCCCCCACCAGGACAAUGCCUAGCUUCCUUUUAAACCACCUCUCCAGAGAGCAGAGGUUGCCGGAAGUGCACAGGCUGAAAGAGGUUUCCCUUUGCCUACACUCUGAGCCAAAUGGAACAUCUUCAAAGUGAUUCUCUGGUUCAGAAACAGAGGAUGCUGAGGAACAUCCCACGAGGCGGCUCGGCUUCCCGGCCUCCUGGCGGUGAGCAGGGAAUGAGGCCCGGGCCAGGGAGGGGUGGGGACCGUCCCCGGAGUAAGCCAGCUCUGCCAUUCUCCACUUGUUCCCAGGUGGGACAGGAGUCAGCAAUGUCAGGGUGCAGGAGGGGCCCCGCCGAGGAGUCUGCAGGCUCAUGGGUGCGCAGGGACAUGCCAGGGCAGAGCCCCCGAAACCAUCACAAAUGACACACAGGGCCCUAGUGGCGAGGAGGGUGAAAGGGCGGCUCCCCGGCAGCUGCCACAGGCUCAGGGAGGCCCUGGCCAGAGGCAGAGGCCGGGGGCAGAAAGUGGAUGUGACGCGGGCCUCUCGGCUCCCACAGAGCUUGUGAAACCACGUGGAGCUCAUGUGGGCUCUCCGAGAAAGCCACGCCGAGGUCCCUGGAAACACUGGGCCAGCUCCUGGGCUCUCCUGGCCGGGUCUGACCCCCUCCCAUCUUCCUAGACUAGAUCUCUUUUCCUCCAGGGCGUGGAAGGAGCCUGCUUUUCCUCGCAUGCAGGCCCACGGUUAGAGUGGCCGUGGGAGGGCAGCGAUGGAGGAAGCGGGGACGCCCCAGGCCCUGCAGCCGGCACAGCCUCCCUCCGCAAGUCGCUGGCCUGUCGCGUCCCUGUGCCGGGGGCGGGUGGCGGGGAUGGCUCAGAAAUUCCAACACCCCCAGAGCCGGAGGGCUGAGUCACGCUAACACACUGCAUGAGGAAAAGCGAGGCACCAGUGUCCCCAAGGGCACCCCACUUCCGGCCAGUGGAUGAUGCUGGUUGAGGCGUUCUCCUCAUGGUGUCCAAGCCCCCUGCUUCCCACUGAGGACACGGAGAACGUAGGACAGACAGAGACAGAGGUGACAGAUAGAUAGAUAAAGCAGCAGAGAGACAGAAAGAGACAGACAUGAGGGGCUGGGGGAUGAGAGGGGGAGGGAGUGGAAGGGCUGGGGGAGGGGGCCUUUUGUGAAUAAAGGCAGCUUCAGUUAGUAAGAUAACGUAAUUGACAAGCUGCAAAAACAGCACCUACUAAUUAGUCAUUGACUAAAACAUAUAAAUAAUAAAUAUCUAAAGUGUCCCUUCUCUAUAUCCUCCAUGGCCCACAGGACAUUCUGCCUUGCUGGGCUGGGGGUGUGAGUAGGGGGCGACAGCUGACGGGUCACUGGGAGCAAAUGGCGGUACCUUCAAACCCACACUGGAGGGAAAUCCGACAAGGACCAGCUCUCUGUGGGAAGGACUUUUCCAAGAGAAGCCUGUCCUUGGGGGGAGGGUGGGAUCAGCUGAGGAGAGGGCCCCUGGGGAGGGGUCUCCGGAUGAGCAGGGCAGCCCUCCGAUGUACACAUGGCAAGGAAAACCCUUUGGGUUUCUAGUAACUCAAGCAAUUUGAAUAACACUGCUCUUUAGGUUUCAAACAACCAGAUACUCAAGCUUCCCACUUUUACACUGCAUGUCAGAUGGGCCUGUUGGCACCUUGGAUAAGAAAGGGCAUGACUUUAAAAACCAAAUCUGAGAUGCUUCUUCCUGGCCAUGAAAAGUCUGUUCCAUGCGGUUUGGUCGCUCCCAGCAGCACCGAGUGUGCGAUUCACAAAUGUUCCAAACGCCUGACCUCAGAACAAAGGGCUCAGGCAGGUGACAGGUAUUGCUGUGCUGACCAGCUCAGGCGUUUUGCUCCCAAGGAUCUCUAUGAGUUUCAUGGCCAUGGUCCCCGAAGUUCCCACUGUCAAGGCCCAGAGGGGUCAUGGUCUUGGUCUCGUCGCCCGUGAACGGCUGGGGGCUUGACCCUCACGCUCAUGAGCAUGGCCCAAUUUCUGCCUCGAGGGAGGGUGGCCUGGGGCCCAGCAUGUCUGGCAGUCACACUGUGGGUGGGCCUUGGCCAUGGCACUUCAGAAGGCUCUCCGGCUCCUCUACUUACUAAGGAGGACGGCUGAACCUGAGAAGGGCUGGUGGGAGGCCCUGCCAAGCCCGCUACCUCCCUGCGGACGGGCCCGCGAGCCUGACUUUAACGCCCUGUCACUUCAGGGCUGGCACAAGGGUUUCCCGGCCCAGAGGAGCAGGAAGAGGAGCUGAAGGGCGGGGCUGGAGAUCAAACCCGCCCUCUGGGCAGUGCUUCUCAAACUAGGUUUUGCAGAGCCCUUGGGUUCUGAAGAGGUACCUUAGGAGACGCCCUUGGCAAGGGACUGCCCGGUGGGCUGAGCUUUGAGAAAGAAUCUCACACUCGCAGCUUCAACCAGAGCAGCCUGGAUUUCAUCUGCACCCUGAACCUCCCUCCGCCUGCGACUUAGUAAACAAAGCUCUGCUGCUCAAAAUAAAAGUUUUGGAAUCACUUGUCUGGGCGGGGUGGGGAGGGGUGUCAGGUCAUUGAGGGGGAAGACAAGGAACCUGUAGCACUCGAGGAUCAACCAGAAGAGGUAAGACCACCACGGUGCUGGGACUGAGCCAUCCCCACCCCCGGGAGCCGGCCUGCUGGGUGCAGGUGGCUGGCAGAACCUGCUUCGGCCUCCAAACCUUCCCUCUCCGUCAUUCCAUGGCCAGGAGAGCCCUGCUCCCAAAAGGCACCCCCCGGGGGUGGGAGGCCAGGGUCCGGCUCCCACUGGCCCUCUGGCUGCUUCCCCUUUGAGAUCCGCUGGGGCCCCCACUUGCCCAGUGCUACCUGAGCCGGCCGUCGGGUUUGACGGCGCCCAGCUCUGACUUGGGGUCAGGGCUGAAGGAGCUCCAGGCCGUCUGGCUGCAGGUCUGCAUGACGGGGCAGACAGUGGGGCCUGUGGCACAGAUGUCCAUGGCGGUCCACAUCCCACCCACCAGCGAGUCCAGCCAGCGCUCCAGGGCGGCGCCGGCGGACGCGGCGUUCCUCCGAGCCUCCUCCACCUGGGCGGGGCUGAUGGGCAGGCUGAGGACGGGGUUCAGGCUCUGGAAGCUCUGCUCCAUGUAGGCGCUGCGGGGGGGCCCGUUGUGCAGCCUCAAUGCCUCCUCUGAAAGCCAAAGGGAACAAGGACAUCAUUAGACGAGCCAUGGACCGGUCACCUACUACUGUGUGCUUGGCACCGUGCUGGGCACUGCGUAGCACCAUUCAGUUCACGGGACAAUCUCACGAGGAAGUUCUUUUAGCACUCCCAUUGUACAGACAAAGAAACUGAGCCUACGAGGACAUUCCUUCAACAGAUUUAUUAAGUGCCAGGCUCUAUUCUGUGGUGGAGCAAACCAGACAAUGAAGGAGACCACAAUCCAGUGGAGGAAGAAUGAUGACAAUAAAGAAAGAAACAAGUAAAUAAAUAAGGUCAUUCCAGAAAAUGGAGGACAGAGCCUGUUCUCUUUGGAGCAGGUCCUGACUUCCCUACUAGAGCCUCUCAACGCCUUCAUCUCUGCAGAGACUGCAGAGCUUUCUACUGAUACAUGAAUCCUGAAAUACUAUAUUGUUGGCUUGGCCUGUUUUUGAACUUUAAAUACAUGCAUGGUAAUUAUGAUAUCCCCACCCUAACAUUAUGUUCUAGAGGCUCAUCCAGAUCAGCAUGUGGAGGGUCCUACAUUGUGUUCCCUGCUGCGUAGACCUCCACUGUCGGAACAGACCACAUUGUUGGUCCAUUGGAUGUCGGACGUUUGGAUUGGUUCUGGUUUGGUGCUAUUAUCAACAACUUGCUGUAUUUCUGCACAAGUCUCUAUGGCCUCUACCUCGGGUGGAAUUUCUGUGCAGUAGGGUAUGUGUAUAUGUUCAACUUCACCAGCAAAUGCGAACUCAUUUUAUUACAUGGCUCUCUCACUAGCACUUACAUGGACAGUUAUUAUUCUCCAUCUUGACCAUCAAAUGAUGUUGUCUCAUCUUCAGACAUGUCCUAACAUGGCAGACGUGAAGUGGAAUCCCUUUUUGCUUUUAAUUUGCAUUUCUCUCAUUAUUCACGAGGCUGAGCAUCUUUUUAUAUGUGUGUGUAUAUGCUCUCUCUUUUUUAUUUCUUUUAUAUCAGGGAUUGGCCCUUUCUCUAAAGGACCAGAUAGCAAAUACUUUUGGCUCUGUGGGCAACUACUUAAUGCUGGCGUUGUGGCCCCAAAGCAACAACAGUCAAUAUGUAAAUGAGUGAGACUGCAUUUCAAUAAAAUUUUAUUUACAAAAACAGGGAGUGGGCUGGAUUUGGCCUGUGGCUUGUAGUUUGCUCUGACUUAGGGGAUUUCUGAAUUUGAGUACUUUUUG
Long non-coding RNA from Balaenoptera acutorostrata (minke whale), 6096 nucleotides. RefSeq lists it as uncharacterized. The transcript has 6 exons. The record is from RefSeq and is a predicted model, not a curated record. Lineage: Eukaryota; Metazoa; Chordata; Mammalia; Artiodactyla; Balaenopteridae.